GAGCAUGCGUACAACUCCAGUAAACACACUGCGCAUGCUCCCCUCCCAAGUGCCCGCAGGUCACUGCAGGUGCAAACGCCCACCACCAAGGGAGGAAUCGGGGGAGAAGGAACGCAAGACCCCGGAGUAAAAUAAGGAAGAAGAGGGGGAAGAUGAGGAUGGAGGAGGAAGGAAGAGCUGAAGUAGACAUUUUUGCGUGGUGUUUCAUUAGAGACUCCGUCAGGAAUGGGACCACCUCAUAGAGUCACACACACAACCCUUCUUUUGGAGCUUGGAAUGCAGAAAACCCAGCAGCACCAGCUCUCUCUUUAGACAAGUACAAGAAGUACAAGAGCUCAAGAACCACUGAACACGGGUACAAGCUAUAACACAGGUCCUACAAAUCAGAUCAUGUGACUAUUCUCUUGCUAAGAAUGUUCAGUGGUUUCCUAUUGCUUACCCUUAAUCUCUGUCUCCAGAAACUUCAAUUUUCCUGCUCCAAUUAUAAUGGUAACAACAACAAACUUCUUGGUCUGAUGACAUAAAGAAAGUGAAGUCUAAGUGAACAAGAAGCAAAGGGAGGAGCAGAAAUGCAACUGGAGGCAGCCAGGUGUCAGCCAAGGCGCUCCAUCAGCUCGUUUCCCUGUGUGAACCAUCUUCAGCAUAAUGCUGGUGUCAAUUUUGAUGCCGUAUCCAUGAAGGCCCACUCAGGAACACAGAAGCGGCACCAGUUAUUCGAACAAGAGUAACUUGACAUGAGAAAUCGAUUAAACAGAUAUGAGAGGACUAAAAAGGCAUGAGAAAACUGCCUGCUUAAAGGAUUCAUCGUGAGAAGCCAGCCCUAUGGGAGUUAUUUACUUAUGAGAAGCUGAGAAACACAGUCUCUAGCUAGGCGACCAUGGCUCAGCUUAAACUGAAUUCAUAUGGAAGAAAGGAAGAUCAAAUUUUAAGGAGCAGUUAGCAGUCUGCCACAAACAGUAUGUAUUCACAGAGUUUUAUAACGUGUCUUAUCUCACAGCUAAAAAGAUAAGAUUCAGCCCACAGCUAAGAGAGCAAGUUUUAGUAACAGCUUCUAGAGAUUGUGAAAUUGACAGAUGAGUGAAUAUGUAUUCACACAGACAUAAUGAGAUUAUAACGUCAUGAUGAAAUCAGAACUCUGUAUUUGCAUUUUAUUUCAAUACAAUGUUUUUCUUGCCAGAUAGAGGAAAGCUCAUUUGUUCUUCUGGAUGCAAGAACAAUGCAAGCAAUUAAAAUAUAGCAACUUGCUACAUAUUUGGAAGACCUAUUUUUAAACAAUAUGAAUAUUAUUUAUUUAAACACUUAGAUUUCCUUGGAGACUUUUACCUCAAGGUCUACACAAACCAAGAAAACAGUUUUAAUUAUUUUAAUUUGAGACAGGUUCUUGCUCUGUCGCCCAGGCUGGAGUGCAGUGACCCUAUCACAGCUCACUGCAGCCUCAACCUCCCCAGGCUCAGGUGAUCCUCCCACUCAGCAUCCCAAGUAGCUGGCACUACAGUUGCAUGCCACCAUGCCCGCCUAAAUUUUCUAUUUUUUGUGUGUGUGUGGAGACAGGGUUUUGCCAGGUUUCCCAGGCUGACUCAAGUAAUCCACUAUCCUGGCCUCCCAAAAUGUUAGGAGUACAGGUGUGAGCCUCUGUGCCUGGCCGAAGAAAACAUUUUUAUAUGGAAAACACUGUAUAAAAAAACCAGGGGAAAGUCUUCCUGUCCUGACACUAUUCAGUCAAAUAUACAAUGUUUGCCAGACUACUGAGGAAAGCCACCAUCUCUGGUGAUGGCCAGCAUUUUCUUUACUGAUGUCAAAUCAGCAGUUAAUAGCGUAACCUCAUUUUGUCUACUUUAUUUUAUAACUAGGUUACAUAGCAGUUCACUAAUAGGUAUGAUACUGAAUAUAUUGCCAGAUACAAGUUGUCAAAAUUGUCUGUGGCCUGAACUCCUAUUAUUUUGGCAUCUCCCUGGUGUUUAUUACUGGCAGAAGUGAAGUUGGUAUUACAAUUGCCUGCAUAUGCUGCUUCACAGAAGAGUAAGGGAUCAAUUUCCUCCUAGUAAAAGAGAUUAUUAAAAAAUAGAAUUAUAAGCAUAAAUUCUAUUUUAAAAUGUUGAGAUAACACUAUUGGCAUAACUUGAAGAUCACACCCAACUAAAGCAUGAACUACAAGUCUUAUUACUUAUUACAAGAUCUUUUAUUACUAUGCAGAGGUUCAGUUGACUACCCUACAAAGAGGGUGAGUAUGUUAAAACACAAAUAGGAAAAACGCGUUCUAUAUACAGUCAUGUGCCUCGGAAUGAUGUUUUAGUCAAUGGACCACGUAUAUAUAUGAGUGGUCACAUAAGAUUAUAAUGCCAUAUUUUCACUGCCCCUUUUCUAUGCUUGGAUAUGUUUAGAUACGUACAUAUUUACCAUUGCC
Callithrix jacchus (white-tufted-ear marmoset) is the source of this 2404-nucleotide non-coding RNA. NCBI's taxonomy places the organism in Eukaryota, Metazoa, Chordata, Mammalia, Primates, Cebidae. The record is from RefSeq and is a predicted model, not a curated record.